Molecule: ribosomal RNA, 1368 nt
Filed under: Triticum aestivum (bread wheat)
Lineage: Eukaryota; Viridiplantae; Streptophyta; Magnoliopsida; Poales; Poaceae
Description: partial small subunit ribosomal RNA
Source: RNAcentral
AUGUGGGAGGCAGUCCAGGACAGCAACGUCGACCACCUAGAGGAUCGACGGGCACUGGACGCCCUCAUCGCCGCAGUCCCGCCCAAGAUGCAGUUCUUGCUUUCCAACAAGCGGACUGCCAAGGAGGCUUGGGACGCCAUCGCCGCAGCACGCAUCGGCAGCGACCGUGCUCGCAAGUCCACCCUGCAGGCACUUCGUAAGGAGUGGGAGAACCUGGGCUUCAAGCCAGGUGAGGACGUUGAUGACUUUGCUCUCCGUCUCAACACUCUGCUGCAGAAGAUGGUGAAGUUUGGCGAUGCCACCUACACCGAGGAGAGAGCUGUUGAGAAGCUUUUUCGGUGCAUUCCCGAGAAGUACAAGCAGAUGGCUCGCUCGAUCGAGUCGUUGCUGGACCUCUCCACGAUGACGAUCGAGGAGGCGAUAGGUCGACUCAAGGUCGUCGACACCGACGAGCCACAGCCCCCCUCGGGGCCCGUCACCACCGGCGGGAAGCUGCUCCUAACUCGGGAGCAGUGGGAUCCCAGCCUUGGUGACAGGAAGAAGGGGGAGCCUUCCUCCUCGACGGGCGGCCGCAAGCGUGGCAAGCAGCGUAAGGCGCGAAGAGGCCCCCCGGGCAGGGCACAAGGACGUGCCGAAGGUGACGCCCGCGGAGGCGCCAAGGACGGCGCCGCUGGCAAGCCCAAGCCGGCACAAGACAACAGUUGCCACAACUGUGGCCGGUUUGGCCAUUGGGCCAAUGAGUGUCGGCAACCACGACAAGGCCAGGCUCACGUCGCACAGGCGAAGGAGGAGGAGAUGGCUCUGUUCAUGGCGCAUGCAAGCAUUGAGCUACCCUCGGCGACUCCAGUCGCAAAGGCUUUCAUCCACCUCGAUGAGCCAAAAGCACACGCUCUUCUCGGCGAUGGCUCCAGGAAGGACAAGGCUACGGGGUGGUGCCUCGACACCGGCGCCACCCACCACAUGACCGGUCGAAGGGAAUUCUUCGCCGAGCUCGACUCCGAUGCGCGAGGCUCCGUCAAGUUCGGGGAUGCCUCCGCUGUGGAGAUAAAGGGCGUCGGCUCCGUCAUCUUCACCACCAAGAUGGGAGAGCACCGGCUGCUCACCGGUGUCUACUACAUCCCCGCGCUAAGGAAUUCCAUCAUCAGCUUGGGACAGCUGGAUGAGAACGGCUCACGCGUGCUGAUUGAGCAUGGGUCCUACGCAGCUGGGAUCGCCAGCGUCGCCUUCUCGCCAAGGUGCCCAGAGGUGAAAAUCGACUCUACGUCCUUGAUGUGCAGGUGGCACAACCGGUCUGUCUCGCUGUCCGUCGAGACGACGAGGCGUGGCAGUGGCAUGAGCGCUUUGGGCACCUUCACUUUGAGGCCCUGA